CCGGUUGAUCCUGCCGGAGGCUACCGCUAUUGGAGUUCGAUUAAGCCAUGCGAGUCGCGAGUCUUAGGGACUCGGCGUACCGCUCAGUAACACGUGGGUAACCUGCCCUAUGCUGGGGGAUAACCUCGGGAAACUGAGAAUAAUACCCCAUAGUUCACCACGCCUGGAACGGUUGGUGGACCAAAGCUCCGGCGGCAUAGGAUGGGCCUGCGGCGUAUCAGGUUGUAGGGGGUGUAAUGUACCCUCUAGCCCUCUACGCGUACGGGUGUUGAGAGACAUCGCCCGGAGAUGGAUUCUGAGACACGAAUCCAGACCCUACGGGGUGCAGCAGGCGCGAAAACUUGGCAAUGCGAGAAAUCGUGACCAGGGAACUCCAAGUGCAUCGGGUAAGACCGAUGCUUUUCUUGACUCUUCAAAGGUCUUGGAAUAAGGGGUGGGUAAGGACGGUGCCAGCCGCCGCGGUAAUACCGGCGCCCCAAGUGGUAGUCGCUUUUAUUGGGCCUAAAACGUCCGUAGCCGGUCUGGUACAUUCGUGGGUAAAUCAACCAGCUCAACUGGUUGAAUUCUGCGAGCACGGCCAGACUUGGGACCGGGAGAGGUGUGGGGUACUCUCAGGGUAGGGGUAAAAUCCUGUCAUCCUGAGAGGACCACCUGUUGCGAAGGCGCCACACUAGAACGGAUCCGACGGUCAGGGACGAAGCCUAGGGGCACGAACCGGAUUAGAUACCCGGGUAGUCCUAGGUGUAAACGCUGUGGACUUGAUGUUGGGGGCGCUCCGAGCGCACUCAGUGUCGAAGCGAAGGUGAUAAGUCCACUGCCUGGGGAGUACGGUCGCAAGGCUGAAACUUAAAGGAAUUGGCGGGGGAGCACCGCAACCUGAG
RNAcentral lists this ribosomal RNA (881 nucleotides) under uncultured archaeon. Its description in RNAcentral is "bacterial SSU rRNA". It matches the Rfam family "Archaeal small subunit ribosomal RNA", at positions 4 to 890 of the family's 1478-position model. The record is from RNAcentral.